This 309-nucleotide ribosomal RNA is filed under the name uncultured fungus. RNAcentral describes it as "SSU rRNA". It matches the Rfam family "Eukaryotic small subunit ribosomal RNA", at positions 39 to 352 of the family's 1831-position model. Lineage: Eukaryota; Fungi. RNAcentral also lists the same sequence under 1 other name. The record is from RNAcentral.
AAAGAUUAAGCCAUGCAUGUCUAAGUAUAAGCAAUUAUACAGCGAAACUGCGAAUGGCUCAUUAUAUAAGUUAUCGUUUAUUUGAUAGUACCUUACUACUUGGAUAACCGUGGUAAUUCUAGAGCUAAUACAUGCUAAAAAUCCCGACUUCGGAAGGGAUGUAUUUAUUAGAUUAAAAACCAAUGCCCUCCGGGGCUCACUGGUGAUUCAUGAUAACUUCUCGAAUCGCACGGCCUUGCGCCGGCGAUGGUUCAUUCAAAUUUCUUCCCUAUCAACUUUCGAUGUUUGGGUAUUGGCCAAACAUGGUUG